This is a long non-coding RNA of Brassica oleracea var. oleracea, 742 nucleotides long. RefSeq lists it as uncharacterized. The record is from RefSeq and is a predicted model, not a curated record. Lineage: Eukaryota; Viridiplantae; Streptophyta; Magnoliopsida; Brassicales; Brassicaceae. The transcript is spliced from 2 exons.
UAGUGCCAACCUAGCAUUAAUUCUCUUGGUAACCAUAGUAAUAAAGAACCACAGCUUAUAAGCGGUGUUCUGGUGGCCGGUGACUUUAUAGUCGCCGGUCACUGAUCUUUCUUUUUUUUUCUGUUUUUUGUUGUAUUAUAAUCUUCGAUCUCUAAGAUCGAUCUUAUCUUCCGGUUGCGGAUAGUUCUUUUCGUGAUAGGCGAUAUGUUGUGUUAAAGUAUUUUGGUGUGUUAAAAUCCGUUUCUUGGCUUUUUUUAUUUUAUUCUUAUCGUGUUUAAUUUUGAGGGGUUCUUAAUCUAUUCGUUAGAUAAGCUUGGCUUCUUACUCAGAUGAGGUAUCAAUCUUCGUUAAAAGAAUAUUAUCGCGUAGUAUCCAAUCGAGUAUGAAAUCAAGAUGAUUGAUCAAGCGAUGGAGAAUCGAUGCAGUUUCAGAUAAGCCGGAGUUCUCUGUUAUGAAGAGCCUUAAAACAUCAACAGCGAUCUCAGAAAGGAAGAGCGGUCAAGCAAUUUCAACCUAAUCGAAGAAAGGUGUUUGGGUCAUCGAUCUGGCUGUUUCUCCGGUGAUACCUCUGACGUCCUCUUUCGAUUCCAGAUUCGUCUUUUCCACAUGAUGGGACACGUGGUGAUCAUGCAAUCCAAACCUUAUAUUUUUAACACGUGUUUUCUUGUUGUAAAUUUUAUUUUCAGAAUGUGGACAAGAUUUGGGCUGAAUAUGUAUAUGAGACUGGGCUGAGUUGUUUGUA